CUUAGAUAUUUUGCAUAAGGCAUUUUCUGGUAGACCUCUACCAAGAUUGUUCAAAUUAUAGCCCUGGGGUCAAAAUCGGCCCUGCCCCGGGGUCAUUGAUUUUCACUAUAUGUACAUCUAGUAAAAACUUAAAAUACCUUAUUGUAAAGACCCAAAUAGCCUAGAGCUUAGAUAUUUUGCAUAAGGCAUUGCCUGGUAGACCUCUACCAAGAUUGUUCAAAUUAUAGCCCUAGGGUCAAAAUCGGCCCCGCCCCGGGGGUCAUUGAUUUUCACUAUAUGUACAUAUAGUAAAAACUUUAAAAUACCUACUUGUAAAGACCCAAAAGGCCUAGAGCAUAAGGCAUUGUGUUGUAGACCUCUACCCAGAUUGUUCAAAUUAUAGCCCUGGGGUCAAAAUCGGCCCUGCCCCGGGGGUCAUUGGUUUUCGUUAUAUGUAUAUAGUAAAAACUUUAAAAAAAUUUCUUCUAGCAAUUGACAAAUGCUAGAGGUUAGAUAUUUUGCAUGAAACAUUGUGUAGUGAACCUCUAGCAAGAUUGUUCAAAUUAUAGCCCUGGGGUCAAAAUUGCCCCCGCCCCGGGGGUCAUUGAUUUUCAAAUAUAAUUAUACAUAUAGUAAAAAAUAAAAAAAUCUUAUUGUCUGUAGGUACAAGGUACAAGGCUUCAAAAACUUAAAAUACCUUCUUGUAAAUGCCCAAAAGGCCUAGAGCUUAGGUAUUAAUGCGGUGGCAUAGCAUUUUUCUCAAAUGCAAUCUUGUUUUUAUGGUUAAAAUAUUCAUCAUGUUUAAUUAUUUUCUAGGUUUGAGACAUUAUUAGUAACUUGAUUAACGUUCAAAAAUACCAUUUUAUUUCCUGUUCUUGAUUUGUUUAUAUACCUUUAACAAGAAGAUAGUUAUUUAUAUUUUUAGUUACAUUAUCAACUGUGUUCAUCAAACAUUUAUAAUGAUUACUUUUUUUAUAAUAAUAGCAAACAUAAAUAUAUUUAUCACAUUAACAAAAGGCACUGAAGUGUUAUUAAGCCAUUAAAUGGAAACAUUACGCUAGUAAAAAAGGGGGUCCUAUAUACUUUAUCAACUCUGCUACAUGUGCUAGCUAUAUAAGGAUUAUGACCUUUUCAAAUCAAAUCAAACUGUGCCAUAAUCUCAGGCUGUCUCCAAUUUUUUUUUACUAUUUUAUGUAAGACAAGAAGAGGUAAUAAUAUAGAGAUUUUGGGCUGAAAAUUUGCCUCCAUUGAUCUCAUAACUUCUGUAAAAUAAACAGAAAACAUAUCAGAAUUACUUAAAUUUAUAUCUGAUAUAUAUUUUUAGUCUACUUGACUUAACAAUUUUUUUUCCAGUGUUUGAUAAAAAUUUUUUUAGUUAUAUGUGUUCAAAGAUGUUAUUAAUGACUGUUUAAUAGUAUUGUUGAUUAUUUUUAAGUGAUAUGAAAUUUGAAUCUAUGUAAUAUUCUUAAUUUUAUUGUUAAUUCUAAAAAUAAAAAAUGCAUAAUUUCUUAAAGUGUUCAUAUUACAGAUGAAUUUUUUUAACAUCUUUGCUCAAACAUAUCUAUGUUAUAAAAUAUGGUUUAAGACAAGGCUAUAUAUAUAUAAAUGUUAAGUGUUGCAAAUUAUCUUUAUACUAAACUAGUUUAUUUCAUUUAAGUUAUAGCUUGAAGUCUUUUUUUCAAUGUGUCUUGUUAGACACCCCAGGUCUUAUAUCGGCCAAUAGAUAUUGGUAUAACACUUGCCAAUAAUUGAUUAGACAAUAGGUGCAACACUUGGUUUUGAUUGUGUGUGCAACUUCAAUUCUUAAUUGAUAUUAACAUAUUCUCUUAAAACUUCAAUCAUUAUUUCACAGAUUUUACCAAGGCCCAUACCUCUUGUAUGAGUUGUAUAUGAUUAUAAGAAAUAUUCUACAUUGUUUUUGAUUUUUCUAUCUAAAGCUGUAAAUGUUAGAGCCAAUUAUUUCUAUUAGCUCACUUUGCACAUUGUUCUUGUUUGACUAUCAAAAACUGUAAGUAUUUUAGUCAACUAUUUCUAUUAGCUCCCUUUGGAGUUUUGUGAUGUCAUUGAAGAACAUAUCUGUAUCUUUAUGCUUUAAGGGCUUCAUCCAUUGUGUUGAUGCCACAUUUGAAAUAAAACAUGCUUUUAUUUCUCAUACAUUUAGUAUAAAAGUCAUAAUAUAAUUUGAAUAUAUAUAUAUAUUUCAAAUGCCAAAGUGUUGUCUUCCAACUUUGGAGAAGUGUUUAGUUUGUAUAUAAAGUUAAUUGUUGGGAAAGGUGUAAUGUUGAUUAUAUCUAUUGAUUGUUUUUAUUCUUAAUUAAAUUUUGGUGAUGAUUCUUUUUUCUUGUUUUGAAAUGUUUCAUAUUUAUUGUUCAUAAUAAUUAUUGAAAAUGUUGAUAAAUGCACAGAGGAGCUAUUAGGGUUUUCAUCAAUUAGUAACAGCUUCCAAGUUACAGGUUACAUAAUACAAAUGAGGUAGAAGAACACAAACUAGGUAACAUAAUACAAACUAAGUUAUUGAACACAAACUGUGUUACAGAAUACAAACUAGAUAAUGGAACAUAAACUAGGAUACGAACACAAACUUUGUUAUGAAACACAAACUUGGUUUCAGAACACAUAACUAGGCUACAGAACACAAAAUAGUUUACAGAACACCAAAUAGGUUACAUUGCACAAACUAGGUCAUAGAAAAGCAAAAAAGGUUAUUGACUCCAGAACACAAGUUAUUUUACAGAACACACCACACACUCAGUUACAGAACACUUACUAGGUUGCAUGUUUCACAAUACAAAGUAGGUUAUAGAACACAGGGUAGAUCAUAGGUUUUAGAAUACAAACUAUGUUUCAAAAUACAAACUAGGUAUCAGAAUACAAAUUAAUGAUCGGAACACAAUCAUACAUUUGUACUAUAGUUUAUAAAACUCAAUCAUUUUAAGUUACAGAACACAAUUAUACAAGGUCACAUACCACAAUUGAAAUAUGUUACAAAACAUAAUUAUCCUAGGUAAAAGAAUCGAAUUGUAAAGUUAGAUUAGCUAGCUAUUAAUUUAAGUGUUAGGUGCUCGUGUAUAGCUUUUAUAUAAUUAUGCCCCCAUUUUGAAAAAAAGGGGGUAUAUUGCUUUGCACUUGUCGGUCCGUCGGUCCGUAGACCAAAUGGUUUCCGAGUGAUAACUAAAGAACCCUUAGGCCUAGGAACUUCAAACUUGGUAUGGUGAUUGGUCAUGACCAGUAGAUGACCCCUAUUGAUUUUGGGGUCAAGGGGUCAAAGGUCAAGGUCACAUUGACCUUGAAAGCAAAAACGGUUUCCGAUCAAUAACUAAAGAACCUUAAGGCCUAGGAACUUCAAACUUGGUAUGGUGAUUGGUCAUGACCAGUAGAUGACCCCUAUUGAUUUUGGGGUCAAGGGGUCAAAGGUCAAGGUCACAUUGACCUUGAAAGCAAAAACGGUUUCCGAUCAAUAACUAAAGAACCUUAUGGCCUAGGAACUUCAAACUUGAGAUGGUGAUUGGUCAUGACCAGUAGAUGACCCCUAUUGAUUUUGGAGUCAAGGGGUCAAAGGUCAAGGUCACAUUGACCUUGAAAGCAAAAACAGUUUCUGAUCAAUAACUAAAGAACCUUAAGGCCUAGGAACUUCAAACUUGGUAUGGUGAUUAGUCAUGACCAGUUGAUGACCCCUAUUGAUUUUUGGGGUCAAGGGGUCAAAGGUCAAGGUCACAUUGACCUUAAAAGCAAAAACGGUUUCCGAUCAAUAACUAAAGAACCUUAAGGCCUAGGAACUUCAAACUUGGUAUGGUGAUUGGUCAUGAUCAGUAGAUGACCCCUAUUGAUUUUGGGGUCAAGGGGUCAAAGGUCAAGGUCACAUUGACCUUGUAAGCAAAAACGGUUUCUGAUCAAUAACUAAAGAACCUUAAGGCCUAGGAACUUCAAACUUGGUAUGGUGAUUGGUCAUGACCAGUAGAUGACCCCUAUUGAUUUUGGGGUCAAGGGGUCAAAGGUCAAGGUCACAUUGACCUUGUAGGUAAAAACAGUUUCCGAUCAAUACCUAAAGAACCUUAAGGCUUAGGAACAUCAAACUUGGUAUGGUGAUUGGUCAUGAUCAGUAGAUGACCCCUAUUAAUUUUGGGGUCAAGGGGUCAAAGGUCAAGGUCACAUUGACCUUGUAGGUAAAAACGGUUUCCGAUCAAUAACUAAAGAACCUUAAGGCCUAGGAACUUCAAACUUGGUAUGGUGAUUGGUCAUGAUCAGUAGAUAACCCGUAUAGAUUUUGGGGUCAAGGGGUGAAAGGUCAAGGUCACAUUGACCUUGUAGGUAAAAACGGUUAUCGAUCAAUAACUAAAGAACCUUAAGGCCUAGGAACUUCAAACUUGGUAUGGUGAUUGGUCAUGAUCAGUAGAUAACCCGUAUAGAUUUUGGGGUCAAGGGGUGAAAGGUCAAGGUCACAUUGACCUUAAAAGCAAAAACGGUUUCCGAUCAAUAACUAAAGAACCUUAAGGCCUAGGAACUUCAAACUUGGUAUGGUGAUUGGUCAUGAUCAGUAGAUGACCCCUAUUGAUUUUGGGGUCAAGGGGUCAAAGGUCAAGGUCACAUUGACCUUGUAAGCAAAAACGGUUUCUGAUCAAUAACUAAAGAACCUUAAGGCCUAGGAACUUCAAACUUGGGAUGGUGAUUGGUCAUGACCAGUAGAUGACCCCUAUUGAUUUUGGAGUCAAGGGGUCAAAGGUCAAGGUCACAUUGACCUUGAAAGCAAAAACGGUUUCCGAUCAAUAACUAAAGAACCUUAAGGCCUAGGAACUUCAAACUUGGUAUGGUGAUUGGUUAUGACCAAUCAGAUGACCCCUAUUGAUUUUGGCGUUAAGGGGUCAAAGGUCAAGGUCACAUUGACCUUGUAGGUAAAAACGGUUUCUGAUCAAUAACAAAAGAACCCUUAGGCCUAGGAACUUCAAACUUGGUAUGGUGAUUGGUCAUGAUCAGUAGAUGACCCCUAUUGAUUUUGGGGUCAAGGGGUCAAAGGUCAAGGUCACAUUGACCUUGUAGGUAAAAACGGUUAUCGAUCAAUAACUAAAGAACCUUAAGGCCUAGGAACUUCAAACUUGGUAUGGUGAUUGGUCAUGAUCAGUAGAUAACCCGUAUAGAUUUUGGGGUCAAGGGGUGAAAGGUCAAGGUCACAUUGACCUUUUAAUUAAAAACAGUUUCUGAUCAAUAACAAAAGAACCCUUAGGCCUAGGAACUUCAAACUUGGUAUGGUGAUUGGUUAUGACCAAUCAGAUGACCCCUAUUGAUUUUGGCGUUAAGGGGUCAAAGGUCAAGGUCACAUUGACCUUGUAGGUAAAAACGGUUUCCGAUCAAUAAUGAAAGAACCCUUAGGCCUAGGGACUUCAAACUUGAGAUGGUGAUUGGUCAUGAUCAGUAGAUGACCCCUAUUGAUUUUGGGGUCUAGGGGUCAAAGGUCAAGGUCACAUUGACCUCUUAGGUAAAAACGGUUUCCGAUCAAUAACUAAAGAACCCUUAGGCCUAGGAACUUCAAACUUGGUAUGGUGAUUGGUCAUGACCAGCAGAUGACCCCUAUUGAUUUUGGGGUUAAGGGGUUAAAGGGCAAGGUCACAUUGACAUUGUACGUAAAAAUGCUUUCCGAUCAAUAACUUAAGAACCCUUAUGCCUAGGAACUUCAAACUUGGUAUGGUGAUUGGUCAUGACCAGCAGAUGACCUAUUGAUUUUGGGGUCAAGGGGUCAAAGGUCAAGGUCUCAUUGACCUUGUAGGUAAAAACGGUUUCCGAUCAAUUAACUAAAAACGCUUAGGCCUAGGAACUUCAAACUUUGUGUGAUGAUUGGUCAUGACCAGCAGAUGACCCUAUUGAGUUUUAGGUGAAGGGGUCAAAGGUCAAGGUCACAUUGACCUUUUAAGUAAAAACGGUUUCUGAUCAAUAAUUCAAGAACGCUUAGGCCUAGGAACUUCAAACUUGGUAUGGUGAUUUGUCAUGACCAGCAGAUUACUCCUAUUGAUUUUGGGAUCAAGGGGUCAAAGGUCAAGGUCACAAUGACCUUGUAAGUAAAAACGGUUUCUGAUCAAUAACUAAAGAACGCUUCGGCCUAGAAACUUCAAACUUGGCAUGGUGAUUGGUCAUGACCAGCAGAUGACCCCUAUUGAUUUUGGGGUCAAAGGUCAAGGUCACAUUGACCUUGUAUGUUAAAACGGUUUCCGAUCAAUAAUAAGAGAACCCUUAGGCCUAAGAACUUCAAACUUGGCAUGGUGAUUGGUCAUGACCAGCAGAUGACCCCUAUUGAUUUUGGGGUCAAGGGGUCAAAGGUCAAGGUCACAUUGACCUUGUAGGUAAAAACAGUUUCUGAUCAAUUUACUAAAAACGCCUAGGCCUAGGAACUUCAAACUUUGUUUGAUGAUUGUUCGUGACCAGCAGAUGACCCCUAUUGAGUUUUGGGUCAAGGGGUCAAAGGUCAAGGUCAUGACCAGUAGAUACUUUAUAACCCUUAUUAAUUGUUUGAUCACUGGGUCAGAAGUCAUGCAUAAUAACCUUAUCACAUGACUAAUUGGCUGCUGAUAGGGGGCAUACAUGUUUUACAAACAUAUCUUGUUUAUAUUUUUUUAUUAUUAUAAUCAAAUUUAUUAAGUUAAUUGUCUAGUCACUCUAAUUGUUUUUGUUAUUUUUAACCUGUUAUAUUAGUUUCUAUAAAUAUGUUAAUAUAUAUGUAAGCUUUAUAGCUGUAUAUAUACAUGUAUUUUGUACACCAUUUAGCUCACUGUAUAGAUAAUUUAUUUUAUCACUAUUCGUCAUUUAAAUUUGGCAAUUGUAGUUAUACAGAACUCAAAAGUUUCUGGUUAUUUUGAGGGAAAGGGUGGGUCGUAAUUAGCUUAAGUGAAGGUACAAACCAAGCUUAUUAUUUCCCUGUUAAAAAUAAUUGGAGUAAUUAGUAAUCCUAUGUUUGUACAGUAGCUUAUACUAGGUUAAUUGCUUAAGAUUUAAUGGUACACCUUUAUCGGUUAUUGCAUUAAAUACAUGUAGAAAUAGGGAGAAUGUAUAUUUAUAGAAUUUAUUAUAUACACGUAAUGACAAUCUUGAAUAGAACAGCAUUUUGUUUGAGUAUUUCUAUCUGAUUAUGUUUAGCAAGCUAAACAGAAAUAAUGUUAUUAAACCUCAAUUAUACCAUCUUUAGCAUAGAAACUGUAGAUGCUUUAUAUAUUGCUUACAAUAAAUUAAAUUUAAAAAAAAUACCUAUUUUUCAGGGGUAAAAAUUCAAAUAUUACAGCACCAAAAUAAAAUAAAGUAUUAUUACAGUCUAUGCGAGCGUCCAUGCUGAUUUUGACUUUUGACAACUUCUUUAACAAAAUAAACUUUUUUGUUUAGUUUGAGAAAUUUUGUGAAAUUAAAAAAAACAAAACAGAUAUGAUUUCUGAUAAGGAAUAGAAUAGUAAUUUCCUAUUCAACUAUUUGUGUAUUUUAACUACUGUAACAUUGUUAAAUAAGAUUGUAAAACAUGAUUUCUUAUCAUAAAGCCAUGUAGUGCAUGAUAAUAUAAAAUAUACCAGAUAUUUUAACAUUAAGGCAGAUGCUGUCACGUACUUUUCUUAUAUAAUGUUGCUAUGGCAAUGGAAGUUGGUCUUAAAGAGUUCCACUGAUGUAAAAAGUCUUAUAAACAUAUGAUUUAAAAUUCCUACAAUGAUCUUGUGCUGCACUUACCAAAAAAUCUGCAAUGGGUAAUAAAGAAAUAUAAUCAGUAUUAAAUGGGAUAUCGAUUUUUGUGGGAUUCUUACUUUGCCCAAUUUGAGUGAAAACCUAUUUGAGUGAAAUGCAUUGCAAUGCUUUUCAUUUUAGGGUCAUUAAAAAUGAUUAUGCUAAAAAAACGGGGUGGGGAAAUGAUCUGAAAAUUUGCAUACAGGUUAACUGCUUGUCCAAGCAACUGUUAUACAAAUAUCGGAAACAUAUUUUUCCCAGUCUCGUCAUGCCAAAACUGCCUCAGUGAUCUCCCUUUAGGAAUUAAAGCUUUGGAAAUGAGAAAAAAUUAACUUCCUUUUAAAAGCAUAUGCCAAAAUUUCAUUACCAAAUAGUUUGUUUCUUAUAUAGUUAAUUAUCUUUUGUUUAAAGUGAUUUAGUUAUAUGAUAUAACUAUUUUGAUGUUUAUCUGUUUGUUAAAGAGUUAUUGGUUGUAUUAUUUACAUAUUUUAUAUUGCUUUAACUUAUAUAUUCCUAUUGUUUCAGUUAUUUAUAUGCUUGAAUUAAAAAAAAGAAGUUUUCACUUUGUAUGGUUCGAAUACAGUCUAUGUUGUUUUUGCUGAUAUGUGUGUAAAUAUAUAAAUUCCAUGACGAAAGGUAAUACAAUGUACAAUGUAACACACGGCAGCUUGUGACAUAUCUAAUUAUCUAUGGCACUAAAUUAAAGCACCUGUCUGUAUUUUCCUUGUUACUUAUUGUAUUGUAAUGUUUAACUUCUAUAUAUUUAUCAUUUUACUGAUAAACAAUAUGUAAGGAGGAUAUGUUUUGAUAACAGCAAGUGUAUGACAUUUGAUAUUGUUUGGUAAUAUUUGAGUUACUUCCCUUACAAUACAGUUCAGAAUGUUUUACAGAGUUACUGCCUGUCUUUAUACCAGCUGAAAGCAUGCGCUUGGCGGGCAUUUUUCUUGGCAGGCAUUUUUCUGAUAGGACAGCUUUUGUAUAUAGCUCUAUGUACCAGUUUGAGUUGCUAGAUUCGUCGGUUUUUCUACUCUUGAUGUUACACCUUAGGUCUUCUUCCACCAAGCUGGAAAGUGUGUAGCGACGUAAAACCCCAACGAAAAACAAAUGCUAGAUUAGAUAAUAAAAACAAUGCAAGAGUAACGAUAUAUGGAAACAGCGUUUGUUUAUUAUUAAUAUCUAACAAUAUUUUAUGAGUGUUUAAUUAUAUUUAUAUAAUACCAUUUGAGAUCUUGCCUUACCUUUAUGCAUUUAACAUAACUAUAUAGAGUAUAACCACUUUUGUUCACAUGAUGUUGUCAACAAUAAAAAAUAAAAAUAUUUUAUUUUCAA
Long non-coding RNA from Ruditapes philippinarum (Manila clam), 8994 nucleotides. RefSeq lists it as uncharacterized. Lineage: Eukaryota; Metazoa; Mollusca; Bivalvia; Venerida; Veneridae. The transcript has 2 exons. The record is from RefSeq and is a predicted model, not a curated record.